AGAACGAACGCUGGCGGCAUGCCUAAUACAUGCAAGUCGAACGAACUCUUCGGAGUUAGUGGCGCACGGGUGCGUAACGCGUGGGAAUCUGCCCCUUGGUUCGGAAUAACAGUUGGAAACGACUGCUAAUACCGGAUGAUGACGAAAGUCCAAAGAUUUAUCGCCAAGGGAUGAGCCCGCGUAGGAUUAGCUAGUUGGUGAGGUAAAGGCUCACCAAGGCAACGAUCCUUAGCUGGUCUGGAGGGGAUGAUCAGCCACACUGGGACUGAGACACGGCCCAGACUCCUACGGGAGG
RNAcentral lists this ribosomal RNA (295 nucleotides) under uncultured soil bacterium. RNAcentral's name for it is "partial 16S ribosomal RNA". It matches the Rfam family "Bacterial small subunit ribosomal RNA", at positions 26 to 348 of the family's 1533-position model. The record is from RNAcentral.